GAUGAACGCUGGCGGCGCGCCUAACACAUGCAAGUCGAACGGCACCCCUCCUCGGAGGGCAGCGAGUGGCGAACGGCUGAGUAACACGUGGAGAACCUGCCCCCUCCCCCGGGAUAGCCGCCCGAAAGGACGGGUAAUACCGGAUACCCCGGGGUGCCGCAUGGCACCCCGGCUAAAGCCCCGACGGGAGGGGAUGGCUCCGCGGCCCAUCAGGUAGACGGCGGGGUGACGGCCCACCGUGCCGACGACGGGUAGCCGGGUUGAGAGACCGACCGGCCAGAUUGGGACUGAGACACGGCCCGGACUCCUACGGGAGGGGGCGGUGGGGGAUCUUGCGCAGUGGGGGGAACCCUGACACAGCGACGCCGCGUGCGGGACGGAGGCCUUCGGGUCGUAAACCGCUUUCAGCAGGGAAGAGUCAAGACUGUACCUGCAGAAGAAGCCCCGGCUAACUACGUG
This 459-nucleotide ribosomal RNA is filed under the name uncultured bacterium. Its description in RNAcentral is "partial 16S ribosomal RNA". It matches the Rfam family "Bacterial small subunit ribosomal RNA", at positions 28 to 507 of the family's 1533-position model. The record is from RNAcentral.